Molecule: RNase P RNA, 343 nt
Filed under: human gut metagenome
Description: Bacterial RNase P class A
Rfam family: Bacterial RNase P class A
About the family: Ribonuclease P (RNase P) is a ubiquitous endoribonuclease, found in archaea, bacteria and eukarya as well as chloroplasts and mitochondria.
Source: RNAcentral
GCCCGGCGUCUGCCGGCUACAAUUCGCGGUAUAAGAUGAGGAAAGUCCGAGCUCCGCAGGGCAGAGGUGCCGGAUAACGUCCGGUGAAGGUGACUUCAAGGAAAGUGCAACAGAAAAUUACCGCCGCUGAAUCAGCGGUAAGGGUGAAAAGGCGAGGUAAGAGCUCACCGGCGCGCCGGUAACGGCGCGCGUCCGUGUAAACCCCACCUGGAGCAAGACCAAGAAAGGGCAUAAAAAGCGGCUGCCCGUCGCUGCCCGGUAGGUAGGUCGCUCGAACGCGCCGGCGACGGCGCGUCUAGAAAGAUGAUUGUUUAAUACAGAACUCGGCUUACAGGUUUGCUCA